GCUCAGGCCUGGAGCUCUGAGCCCUGUCCUCUGUGUAAGGAAAAGGGGCUGAGACCUGAUGCUUCCCACACUGCUCCCUGGCGUGCCAUGACACACACACCAGCAGCUCAAAGCCCAGGCCUGUGGCUACACUCUCCUGUUGGCACCAAGUCAACUGCUAAGCACGUGCUGGGUCCUUCUCUUCUGAAGAGCAGCAGUGUCAUGCCAAUCCUCUGCCCUCUUCUGCUUCCUUCUGGCUCACCCUGCCAUCUGCAUGGCUGAGGCCUUGCCAGCUGUACUCUUUUUAGUCACAAAACAUGUUCCAACCUAAGGUGUCUAAAACAGCAGUAAAAUUUUUGAAGGGAUCCUGGAAUUCCUUGCUGAGUUUCUUUUCUUCUGAAGGAAAAACCUCAAUGGAGACAAGGUGUCUGGUUACUUUUGGUAUCCAAUGAAGGCUGGAACUGUUUGUGUAAACAGCAGCUAAAGGUGCCUCUUCCUGCAGGAGCUGUUGCUUGGCGUGGGUGAAGCUGUGCUGUCCUUGGCCACAAGCCCUUGGCCCCCAUGGCCCUUGUCUGUCCCUGCCUAAGCCGGAGGCACAGGCAGUGCUGAGCUUUGAAAAGGUGACUGGCUAUAAAACCAUGACAGGAAAAGGAGGUGCUGGCAAACCUUUUGCAAGGACAAUGAUUAACUCCUGCUCCCCAACUGGUGUCUGCACUUCUAGAUUACAAUGGCUUCUUGGUUUCAAAAAAUGGCUCAGACUGACUUGCAGCUCGUGAGUGCUUUUGCAAAGCUUUGAAUUUGCUUCCUUAGCUUUUGAA
This is a long non-coding RNA of Passer domesticus (house sparrow), 797 nucleotides long. RefSeq lists it as uncharacterized. The transcript has 2 exons. The record is from RefSeq and is a predicted model, not a curated record. NCBI's taxonomy places the organism in Eukaryota, Metazoa, Chordata, Aves, Passeriformes, Passeridae.